AGGACGAACGCUGGCGGCGUGCCUAACACAUGCAAGUCGAGCGAGAUCCAUUCGGUGGCAACACCGUUGAAGAUCUAGCGGCGAACGGGUGAGUAACACGUGAGAAACCUGCCCCGGAGACCGGGAUAACCCGAGGAAACUCGGGCUAAUACCGGAUGUCCCCAUUUCAUCGCAUGUUGAAAUGAGGAAAUGCUCCGACGCUCCGGGAGGGUCUCGCGGCCUAUCAGGUAGUUGGUGAGGUAACGGCUCACCAAGCCGAAGACGGGUAGCUGGUCUGAGAGGACGAUCAGCCACACUGGGACUGAGACACGGCCCAGACUCCUACGGGAGGCAGCAGUGGGGAAUCUUGCGCAAUGGGCGAAAGCCUGACGCAGCAACGCCGCGUGCGGGAUGAAGCUCUCGGUCGUAAACCGCUUUCAGGAGGACGAAAAUGACGUACCUCCAGAAGAAGCCCGGCCAACUACGUGCCAGCAGCCGC
Molecule: ribosomal RNA, 478 nt
Filed under: uncultured soil bacterium
Lineage: Bacteria
Description: bacterial SSU rRNA
Rfam family: Bacterial small subunit ribosomal RNA
Source: RNAcentral